GCGUGGCGGCAGCUACCAUGCAGUCGAACGGUAACAGGAAGCAAGCUUGCUUCUUUGCUGACGAGUGGCGGACGGGUGAGUAAUGUCUGGGAAACUGCCUGAUGGAGGGGGAUAACUACUGGAAACGGUAGCUAAUACCGCAUAACGUCGCAAGACCAAAGAGGGGGACCUUCGGGCCUCUUGCCAUCGGAUGUGCCCAGAUGGGAUUAGCUAGUAGGUGGGGUAACGGCUCASCUAGGACAAGAUCAGMUCUCCUAGCGUGKUCWGAGAGAGAUGACCAGCCACACUGGAACUGGARACCACGGUCCAGAGMUCUCUACGGGAGGCAGCCAGUGGGGAAUAUUGCCACAAUGGGCGCAAGGCCUUGAUGCAAGCCAUGCCGCUGUGUAUGAAGAAGGCCUUCGGGUUGUWAAGUACUUUCAGCGGGGAGGAAGGGAGUAAAGUUAAUACCUUUGCUCAUUGACGUUACCCGCAGAAGAAGCACCGGCUAACUCCGUGCCAGCAGCCGCGGUAAUACGGAGGGUGCAAGCGUUAAUCGGAAUUACUGGGCGUAAAGCGCACGCAGGCGGUUUGUUAAGUCAGAUGUGAAAUCCCCGGGCUCAACCUGGGAACUGCAUCUGAUACUGGCAAGCUUGAGUCUCGUAGAGGGGGGUAGAAUUUCCAGGUGUAGCGGUGAAAUGCGUAGAGAUCUGGAGGAAUACCGGUGGCGAAGGCGGCCCCCUGGACGAAGACUGACGCUCAGGUGCGAAAGCGUGGGGAGCAAACAGGAUUAGAUACCCUGGUAGUCCACGCCGUAAACGAUGUCGACUUGGAGGUUGUGCCCUUGAGGCGUGGCUUCCGGAGCUAACGCGUUAAGUCGACCGCCUGGGGAGUACGGCCGCAAGGUUAAAACUCAAAUGAAUUGACGGGGGCCCGCACAAGCGGUGGAGCAUGUGGUUUAAUUCGAUGCAACGCGAAGAACCUUACCUGGUCUUGACAUCCACGGAAGUUUUCAGAGAUGAGAAUGUGCCUUCGGGAACCGUGAGACAGGUGCUGCAUGGCUGUCGUCAGCUCGUGUUGUGAAAUGUUUGGGUUAAGUUCCCGCAACGAGCGCAACCCUUAUUCCUUUUGUUGCCAGGCGKUCCGGCCGGGAACUCAARGGAGAACUGUCSAGUUGAUWAACUGGAGGAAGGUGGGGAAUAGAACGUCAAGUCAUCAUGGGCCCUUACGACACAGGGUCUACACCACGUGCUACAWUGGCGCWUACAAGAGRGARGCGACCUCKCGRGAGCAGAGCACGGACCUCAUAAAGUGCGUCGUAGUCCGGAUUGGAGUCUGCAACUCGACUCCAUGAAGUCGGAAUCGCUAGUAAUCGUGGAUCAGAAUGCCACGGUGAAUACGUUCCCGGGCCUUGUACACACCGCCCGUCACACCAUGGGAGUGGGUUGCAAAAGAAGUAGGUAGCUUAACCUUCGGGAGGGCGCUUACCACUUUGUGAUUCAUGACUGGGGUGAAGUCGUAACAAGAGCCUGGG
This 1513-nucleotide ribosomal RNA is filed under the name Escherichia coli. RNAcentral describes it as "bacterial SSU rRNA". It matches the Rfam family "Bacterial small subunit ribosomal RNA". Lineage: Bacteria; Pseudomonadati; Pseudomonadota; Gammaproteobacteria; Enterobacterales; Enterobacteriaceae. The record is from RNAcentral.